GGGACGGGAACCCUGGUUUGAGUUGUCCUUGAUGUUUACUACUCAGACCAGAAUAUCUGACUCCAGUUUCUCAAGAUUACAGGCUUGUGAAGUACACAACAAAGGCUCACUUCCUUUCAUUGCUUCCAGAGCCGCCCUCCUCCAAAUUCAAAACGGUUUCCAGAUUGGAAGGAAUUCUGCUACCAGUGCACCAAACAGACAUCAGCCAGUCUUGGGAACAACAAGUACAGAAGGUGACCAACGGUGACUUAAAACAAUUCUAAAGUGCCGUUAUGACAAGCAGUAUUCCCCAAGACAGAUAUAAGGCUGUUUGGCUCAUCUUUUUUAUACUUGGUCUUGGGACGCUCUUGCCAUGGAAUUUUUUCAUGACAGCUUCAGAGGUAAGUUAAGAGUGUAUGUGCAUAAUUCCAGACCAAGGAAUUGCCCAUACCACUGAUUCUAGAUUGUAUGGUUUCACUAAGAUUAUA
Molecule: long non-coding RNA, 467 nt
Filed under: Pseudonaja textilis
Lineage: Eukaryota; Metazoa; Chordata; Lepidosauria; Squamata; Elapidae
Description: lncRNA (ENSPTXG00000005426.1)
Source: RNAcentral